AUCGUUUCGAGGCAUCGCCAAGGCAUCGCUGGUGACCGGUAGAAGGGAAAGGAUUUUCUUUAGUCUGGUGAUAGGUAAUGAGCAACGAAAGGUAUGUAUUAGAGCAGACGUGAAUAGACAGUUAACAGUGUCCAUACGAACAGGGGAAAUUACUCGUGAUUCCUUGAGUAGACUAGAAACGCGUCUCAUCCUCCAGAACACCGUGUAGCCGCAGUGGCUGAUACGUCAGCUCUGACAGAUUUUAGUCGUUUCGAUAACGAUCAAGAACGCUGUUGCGUCAUGCUCACCAUACGCAGUACGACAUGCUCUAUUGGAGAAGCGAUCGAAUUGUUGCAGUUUUCUAGGUCAACAGGCGGGCGAAACCGGUGUUACCGUCUCGUGACAUGUGUACGAUCGAUACAAAAGAUGUUUUGGCUCGUCCAGUACUGGGGCACGUAUCCUCCGUUCUGACCGGAGUGCCUGGUUUACGUUCACGUCCUGGUGAGUGGUCCUGACCGACGCCUACGUUCGGCAGCGGGCUGCGCUUCAGCUACGCAAGCCGUCUAAACGAGUAGAAACGUGCUCCGCAGGUUUCGAAACGCCCUAAAGGCAAUAAUCAAGCUUCUGAAGACGCUCUAGAUCGGAGGAAACGGGUGGAUAUCGGAGGCAUCCAAAAACGUUCAAAGUUUAUCCACAAAGGCGAAGGUUUUGCUCAGAGCAUGUCUUGUGGAUGCUGCGCUCUAUCUGCCCGUUUCCUCGGACAACACUGCCCUUCUAUCAUCUAAUUUUGGCGCAUCAGUCGCUGUACCUGCAGCGCCCACUGGAUAGCAGUCCAUUAAGGUACGCGACGGGAUGCUCCCGUGUACCAAGUCUACCACUUCCCGGUGGCAAUGCGUCUGAAUUCUACUGAAUUGUGUUUCUGGUGAUUACUUGACGACUGGACAGAUUCUUCCUGGAACAACGUGCACCGAAAACAGCGAGCGGUUUGUCCACAGACAAACAGAAACCUGGCGAUGCUCCAAGACGCCCCCAAGGGCCCCAGCUCGUAGCCGGUAAGCGCAAGCACGUCCAAGGAAUCGUAGGACCUUGAACUUCGCGAAACGCGUCGCUGUUCAACUGAUGACGCAGGCAAGCUUGCUAUUCGCAGACUUGCAACAAGUCACCCGAUGCAUCCCUCUCUAUCUCGUUCAGAAUUAUCGCAUGCUUCUCAUCAGUGCAGGUCUUGAAAGACCCUCUCAGAAGAAAGAGAAGUCGAUUUGAAAUUUGGCGAUUGCCUCAUCAUUAUCGUGGAUGAGAGGAACCACGACCGCUCACGAAAUGUGCAGGGUUACUCCAGGCGUGCUCCCUUCUUUCCUCUGCGCCAGCGGGAGCCGAAUCCUCACUGAUCGUCCCGAAGGUCGCGUACGUACAACAUCAGAGAGCAGGCAGCGUUCGUAGACUCGAGCGCGCAGCGGUCACCUGCUAGCCGUACCGCAGCAACGCAAGACAAAAUGGCAAAGCGGGCUCGCCAGUUACAGUCGGAAAGACGCACCCCUGUCCGAGCGCGCUACAUUCUUGGGAUCGUGCGCUGUGCCCGACAAACGCCGCUGAUAGCUCUGAGCCAGCGACACGGGAGCGCACCUCGAACGAGCCACACCCGGAACUCGACACAGCUGACCGCAAUCAAACACGCAGCGCUUGUUGCUCUGGUUCCGUACUGAAACUGCGCUCCGGAUAUAGCUGCUCAUAUGCCAAGCGUGCUGGAUGACGCUCAGCAGACGUUCGGUUGAUCGGUACCCAUUGCGGCUCGUCAGCGAAUAGACGCACAGCCCGAAUGUAGUUGCUACUGUCCACUGUGAAGCGGUGAUAAAUUCCUGCCGGUAAUACCA
RNA transcript from Cyanidioschyzon merolae strain 10D, 1847 nucleotides. RefSeq lists it as hypothetical. The record is from RefSeq and is a predicted model, not a curated record. NCBI's taxonomy places the organism in Eukaryota, Rhodophyta, Bangiophyceae, Cyanidiales, Cyanidiaceae. The transcript has a single exon.